RNAcentral lists this unclassified non-coding RNA (520 nucleotides) under uncultured Glomus. Its description in RNAcentral is "SSU rRNA". It matches the Rfam family "Eukaryotic small subunit ribosomal RNA", at positions 569 to 1084 of the family's 1831-position model. Lineage: Eukaryota; Fungi; Glomeromycota; Glomeromycetes; Glomerales; Glomeraceae. The record is from RNAcentral. RNAcentral also lists the same sequence under 1 other name.
AGCAGCCGCGGUAAUUCCAGCUCCAAUAGCGUAUAUUAAAGUUGUUGCAGUUAAAAAGCUCGUAGUUGAAUUUCGGGAUUGACGUGAUGGUCGUGCCUUACGGGGUAUGAACUGUUGCAGUCAAUUUCUCACCUUCUGGAGAAAUAUGAUGUCCUUAAUUGGGUGUCAUAUGGAACCAGAACUUUUACCUUGAAAAAAUUAGAGUGUUUAAAGCAGGCUUAUUGCUCGAAUACAUUAGCAUGGAAUAAUAAAAUAGGACGGCAUGGUUCUAUUUUGUUGGUUUCUAGGAUCACCGUAAUGAUUAAUAGGGAUAGUUGGGGGCAUUAGUAUUCAAUUGUCAGAGGUGAAAUUCUUGGAUUUAUUGAAGACUAACUACUGCGAAAGCAUUUGCCAAGGAUGUUUUCAUUAAUCAAGAACGAAAGUUAGGGGAUCGAAGACGAUCAGAUACCGUCGUAGUCUUAACCACAAACUAUGCCGACUAGGAAUCAGACGAUGUUAAUUUUUUAAUGACUCGUUUGGC